This is a long non-coding RNA of Antechinus flavipes (yellow-footed antechinus), 600 nucleotides long. RefSeq lists it as uncharacterized. The transcript is spliced from 3 exons. The record is from RefSeq and is a predicted model, not a curated record. NCBI's taxonomy places the organism in Eukaryota, Metazoa, Chordata, Mammalia, Dasyuromorphia, Dasyuridae.
AUCAACGUUUCCUUGGCAACCGCGACUGCGACGGUUAAGCUGUCUGAAAAGGUCUCGGCCGGGAAAUUCGGAAACGUAGUCACAGACCAGCCAAGUUACUCUGUGUAAGAACUGCACUCCAACUUCUCACCCCCUGCUAAGAAUCUGAAUAAGUCUUGCCUCUGGAGCCCAUCACUGAAUUGGGAUCCUCUUCUACCUAAGGCAGUAUCUGGGAAAGUCCAGUAGAGAAUUGAUUGUCCAGCACUAAAUAGCAGCUGCAAAGAAGCUGACUGUGAGACCAAGUAAGCUGAUUGAGGCCAAUUCCAAUGAUUUUGGGAUGAAGAGAGCCAUCUACUCCUGGAAAGAGAACUGUGGAAACUGAGCAUGGAUCACAACAUAGCAUUUCCACUCUUUUUGUUGUUGUUUGUUUGCAUUUUGUUUUCUUUCUCAUUUUUUUCCUUUUUGAUCUGAUUUUUCUUGUGUAGCACGAUAAUUGUAGAAAUAUGUAUAGAAAAUUGUACAUGUUUAACAUAUAUUGAUUACUUGCCAUCUAGGGGAGAGGAUGGGGGAAAAGGGGGUGGUAAAUUUGGAACACAAGUUUUUGCAAGGGUCAAUGUUAAA